This 345-nucleotide ribosomal RNA is filed under the name Holothuria atra. Its description in RNAcentral is "partial large subunit ribosomal RNA". It matches the Rfam family "Bacterial large subunit ribosomal RNA", at positions 1974 to 2531 of the family's 2925-position model. Lineage: Eukaryota; Metazoa; Echinodermata; Holothuroidea; Aspidochirotida; Holothuriidae. The record is from RNAcentral.
UUUUAAAUGGAGACUCGUAUGAACGGCAAAACCUUUUCCAGCUGUCUCCUUUUCUACCCUUUUAAAUUUCUCUCUGUGUGAAGAAGCACAGAUACGCAAGAAAGACGAGAAGACCCUGUCGAGCUUUAGCCACUAAGUGAAUAAUAUUACCCAUUAAAUAUCACCCAAAGGCUUUGGUUGGGGCAACCAAGGAGAAAAAAAAUCCUCCAGAACAAACAGAAGAAAACCCUUCACUGAUAACUUCCCAAAGAACCAAAAAUUGGCAUUCGGAAAAAGUUACCGCAGGGAUAACAGCGUAAUCCUCUCUGAGAGUCCUCAUUGACGAGAGGGUUUGCGACCUCGAUG